Molecule: long non-coding RNA, 1026 nt
Organism: Hippocampus zosterae (dwarf seahorse)
Lineage: Eukaryota; Metazoa; Chordata; Actinopteri; Syngnathiformes; Syngnathidae
Exons: 3
Source: RefSeq, a predicted model, not a curated record
UGAGCAAUUUUAGUUUAUCGUUGGCCAUGAAGGGGGGAGGGGCUGUUCCCAGCUCCAAACCCUCGCAGUUGCACUGUUUGAACCUAGUUUAUUCAGCUCCCCUCCCCCACACUAGUUUGAGCACGUGAUCAAUUAGGAGCGCGGUUCAUACAGCAGCAACAAAGCUUUGCAAGAAGAGUUGAGUGUUGCAGUCGUGUCCCCAGAAAAUCUAAUUCGUUUUAUUCUGCUUUGGACAUCGAAACUGUAUAAUACGAAUUGCAUCCAAUAAGUAAAUAAUAAUGAUGUUUCAUCACAAUUCCAUAUUAGCAUUUGGGAAUAAUGUUGCUUUCAGAACAAUUACAAUAUUUUAAGUCGUUUUUAAAAUAUGUGUGUGUAUAUACUGUAUAUAUAUACAGUAUGUAUAUACACACAUUUUAGGAGUACAUGACAUUGGUGUAAACAAGAUUUCAUAAAAUAUGUUGAUAUUGCUUGACAUUUACUAUGCCCCACUUCAAAACGGACCUCAGAGGAAAAGUGAAGGAGUUUUGGUUAUGAAGGGGCGGGGCUGUUUUCACACCCCAAAACGUCACAGUUACGUUGCAGGAAACGAGUUUCUACAGCUACCCUCCCCCACAUCACACUCGCUGACCAUCAAUUAGGAAACGCGCGCUUUGCUACCUGCACAAAAGGAAGGCGUUGAGAAGAGUGAGCGUACGAGUCAGCAUCAUCGAGAAAACCCCAGAAAGUGACAAAUACUUCAGAAUUAAAGCAGAUGGACAAUCCCACUGAAGAUGGUGAUUAUUCUGACUCAAGUCUUUUUGGAUCAGAUGAGGAAUACAAACCAACUAAGACAUCCUCUGAGUCGAGUGAUGACGAGGAGAUAUUCCAUCCAAAGGUAGAAAAAUUGUUCUCUUAUGAUACAUCCAGUGAAGACUCUACAAGUCAUCAGACAUAUGAAGCAGAGGAGCACAGUCAUGUCUGCAAUUCGUAAAGAAGCCCCAAAAAGGGAAAAGCAUCUCUCCAAAAGAGGGAAGACUGAAUUGGAUG